CAGCAGCCGCGGGAAAACGAAGGGUGCAAGCGUUAAUCGGAAUUACUGGGCGUAAAGCGCGCGUAGGUGGUUUGGUAAGAUGGAUGUGAAAUCCCCGGGCUCAACCUGGGAACUGCAUCCAUAACUGCCUGACUAGAGUACGGUAGAGGGUGGUGGAAUUUCCUGUGUAGCGGUGAAAUGCGUAGAUAUAGGAAGGAACACCAGUGGCGAAGGCGACCACCUGGACUGAUACUGACACUGAGGUGCGAAAGCGUGGGGAGCAAACAGGAUUAGAGACCCGCGUAGUCCCUGUCUCUUAUAC
RNAcentral lists this ribosomal RNA (301 nucleotides) under uncultured bacterium. RNAcentral describes it as "partial 16S ribosomal RNA". It matches the Rfam family "Bacterial small subunit ribosomal RNA", at positions 509 to 807 of the family's 1533-position model. The record is from RNAcentral.